RNAcentral lists this long non-coding RNA (759 nucleotides) under Musa acuminata (dwarf banana). Its description in RNAcentral is "long non-coding RNA (MACU_LNC000841)". The record is from RNAcentral. Lineage: Eukaryota; Viridiplantae; Streptophyta; Magnoliopsida; Zingiberales; Musaceae.
CAAGAGGAACGCCAUUGCUAGCUUCCUCCUGCAGAUCUCAUCCAUCUAUUUGCUAAACACAACAGCACACAACAUCUGGUUUCUUGAGUCUAGCAAUGUUUGACUCCGGAGGACAAGAUAGGAUGAGGUAUGGCUGCAUGCUUUUUGGAUGCACACUGCAUUCAUGAUGAAGGCAGUGUUCCUUUUUCUUUUUUUGGUUUGUGUGACUUGGAUCUUUGAUGAAGGCAGGAACUGAUUCCUUAUCUCUGUUAAAAUCUUCUCACAGAAGCCCACAAUGAAAUAAGAACUCAGAUGCAUACUGUAUGCAACAUACGCACUCGUCGUAGAACACUUGCUGUGCACGUUUGAUCUCAAAGCAGAGCGGGGAUCGAGUUGGAUUGAAUUCAAAGCAGAAGGUUGGAUGGAGAACUGUUGUCAGAAUGAGCUGCUAUUUGCCAAAGAGUGAUGUCACAGUGUAUGACUUAGAACACAACUCAUGUACUAUUUCUCUUGGAAAACAAUGCCGUAAGUUAAGAGUUUGAUAGCAAGUAAACAUCACUCUAAUUUCCCUUGAUGGUGAGCUCUCACCCUCCUUCACCAAGCCCCAAACAAGUGGAAUGGUAGCAGCAGGAUGAUGCAUAUUGCUUCAAGAUGCCAGGAAUGAAUACAUCAUCCAAGAUUUAUUAGCAGCAUGUUUGGAAGCAAUCAAGGAUGGUCAUGUCUCGACUACUGUUACAUUUUUGUGGAGUAAUGAGGUCAAAGUCAUUUACUUCUUUCUCU